Molecule: long non-coding RNA, 1625 nt
Filed under: Nicotiana benthamiana
Lineage: Eukaryota; Viridiplantae; Streptophyta; Magnoliopsida; Solanales; Solanaceae
Description: long non-coding RNA (NBEN_LNC029069)
Source: RNAcentral
AAGUAGGUGGCAGUCAAUAGGCAGUCCCCCCAAAAAGGAAUAGGAAAAUUGGAUUGGAAAAGUAAAGCUCUACAUGCUUCAAGAAGGGUUCUAUGUUUUCUUUCCACAACACCAUUUUGUUGAGGAGUAUGAGGACAAGUAGUUUGAUGAAUGAUGAGAAGGGUUCUAUGUUUUCUUUCCACAACACCAUAUUGUUGAGGAGUAUGAGGACAAAUAGUUUGAUGAAUGAUGCCUUGUUGAUUGAAGAAAGAGACACCAGCAAGGCUAGAACCUAAUUCAAAAGCAUUAUCGCUUCUGACAGUUUGGACAGUAGCAUUAAAUUGUGUUUUGACCAUACAUAUAAAGGACUUGAGAAGGCUGAAAGCAUUACUUUUAGACCCCAAUAAAUGUGUCCAGGUUGCUCUAGAAACAUCAUCAACUAUAGUGAGAAAAUAUUUACAACCAGAAGAAGUAGAGGUGUGAUAAGGGCCCCAAGUAUCCACAUGAAUAAGCUGGAAUGGCCUACAAGUACUGAUAGAACUGUCAGGAAAAGGUAAUCUAGUUUGCCUAGCCAUGGGACAAACAGAACAGGGAAAGGACUGUUUAGAAGCAAAAGGGAAAGAUAAAGCAGAAAUAUGUUAUUACUUUUAGACCCCAGUAAAUGUGUCCAGGUUGCUCUAGAAACAUCAUCAACUAUAGUGAGAAAAUAUUUACAACCAGAAGAAGUAGAGGUGUGAUAAGGGCCCCAAGUAUCCACAUGAAUAAGCUGGAAUGGCCUACAAGUACUGAUAGAACUGUCAGGAAAAGGUAAUCUAGUUUGCCUAGCCAUGGGACAAACAGAACAGGGAAAGGACUGUUUAGAAGCAAAAGGGAAAGAUAAAGCAGAAAUAUGUUUCAUGUGUGCAAAAGGGAUGUGAGCCAGUCUUAAAUGCCAAAUGUAGUUCAUGUCAUUAUCAUCAAAUUUAUUAUGACAAGUAGAACUAUUUACAUUGGAAGAUAAAGCAACAAGAUUUAGAUCAGAAUGGAAAGGGCUGUUUAGAAGCAAAAGGGAAAGAUAAAGCAGAAAUAUGUUUCAUGUAUGCAAAAGGGAUGUGAGCCAGUCUUAAAUGCCAAAUGUAGUUCAUGUCAUUAUCAUCAAAUUUAUUAUGACAAGUAGAACUAUUUACAUUGGAAGAUAAAGCAACAAGAUUUAGAUCAGAAGAACAAUCAAGAUCACAUGAAUCUUUAUUAGAGCAUACAGAAUUGAAAGAAGAACAAUCAGCAGAAGAAGAUAAAGGGGGCGCCCAAGCAAAUUUGUACAGACCAGCCUCCUCUUUACCAAGAUCCAGAGGCAUCUUCAGAGAAGGGGCCUGUAACAUGUGAAGAAAACAAGAAGUUGCAGUAAAUAGAACAAUACAGUGCAACUGUUUCACCAACUUGUGAAAUUGUGUUUGAAAGAAGGGACAAAUAGUACAUUAUGAAGAAUAAUGGAAGGAGUUAAAGCAAAAUAUCCAGUUGAAGUUACUUUUACUUUGUAUCCAUUAGGAAGGGUAACAAGAUAAGGUACAAGUAAAGGUGUGAUAUUGAAGAGUAAUUGUUUAUUAGAUGUCAUGUGGUCAGAAGCUCCAGAAUCUAUUAUCCAGGAAACAGAAGCAAUAUGAGUAAGC